Molecule: ribosomal RNA, 405 nt
Filed under: Leptocylindrus sp.
Lineage: Eukaryota; Bacillariophyta; Leptocylindrophyceae; Leptocylindrales; Leptocylindraceae
Description: partial large subunit ribosomal RNA
Rfam family: Bacterial large subunit ribosomal RNA
Source: RNAcentral
CAGAAAGACCCUAUGAAGCUUUACUGUAACUUGAAAUUGAUUUCGGACGUUAUUUGCGCAGCAUAGGUGGGAGACUAUGAAGUUUAUCUUGCGGGAUAGAUGGAGUCAUCAGUGAGAUACCACUCCUGUAGCGUUAGAAUUCUAACCUUAUACCGUUAGCCGGUUAAGAGACAGUUUCAGGCGGGCAGUUUGACUGGGGCGGUCGCCUCCCAAAAGGUAACGGAGGCGCACAAAGGUUUCCUCAGAUCGGUCAGACAUCGAUCGUAGAGUGUAAAGGCAUAAGGAAGCUUGACUGUGAGAUCUACAAAUCGAACAGAGACGAAAGUCGGUCUUAGUGAUCUGGCGAUAUUGAGUGGAAAAGUCGUCACUCAACGGAUAAAAGUUACUCUAGGGAUAACAGGCUGA